ACAUUUGGCUUGUCGGUGUGUGUAGUAUAAAAUGAGUACGUGUUGGGGGGGGGCCUGGGGGGAACUGUUCUGACGGCAGUACUUUUGGGUUGUUCUAACUUCACAUGUGGAAGACAUUGGCUACACGGUGCCUUUACACGGGCCCCCAGAAACGGCCUUCCUGGCAGACGGACUGGCUGGCCGCAGCUGGGAAACAGAUGUAGAGGGAGUUUCACAAAGAAGAGAGCGGACAGCCGUGGUCGAGGUUGGGUCAUCUCCUGCUAAUCGGAGGACUUAUCUCUGCUAACCCUAAUCCUGAGGACAUUACCCUGUCUCACUGCAGGCUCCCAGGCACAGUGGGAACUCACACUCCCUGCUGGCUCAGGUGAAGCCAAGUGGGCCCAUCGAAGAGCCUACAGCCAGACCCACCAGCCUCACUGGGCCCGUGACAUGGCCGACGCCGGGAGGGAGGUCCUGUCCCUGCUAGAGAAGAUCUGGAGCAAGCUGCAGGGUCUUCCCACCGCCAGUCCUCUGGAGAUAGGGGCCUUCUGUGUCCUCAUCCUCUUUAUUCUGGUCUUCCUGGGCAUGCUGUUGAUGACCUGUGUGACCUGCUGUUGCUGCGGCCGGACCAGAACCAAGGACGCUCAGAGUCAGCUGACCCGAGAAGGUCCCCACCACCCUUAACCAUAAGGAGAGCCAAAAGCAGGCAGGACCAAUGCCGCAGUGUAAACCCGAAACCCUCUGAGACACUCUGGGCAUCCAAUAUACAGGCGUCCCUGCGGAGGGUGUGAAGUGACUCUAGAAAAGGAAUACAGCCUUAGAAACACAGACCUCUGUACAUUACAGACUCGAACGAAGCCUCCCAGAGAAGCAGCAUGACAGCAGUAUCAACAUUCCGUGGGGCAACCAUGAGCUCUGCAGGCCAAAAAUACGGUGUUUGACCAUGAAGAAGGAAAGCACAAGGCUGGGUUCUUACACAAAGAACCCAGAUGGGGGACAUAAACACACACACACACACACAUCAAAUAGCACAAACAACUGCACACAUUGCAAAAAGUACAACAUCUGAAGGAUGCACACGAGAGAAGACGAUGUCUGUCGGAUAUGUGGGUGUCAGCUACACCUCUGCCACUGACUCAGGGAAUAGACAUGUGGAAAGAACCCUUCUCAUUUAACGGAGACAUCUUGCCAAACCCCUUUCAGUGUUUCCACAUUUCUAUUGUCUAAAAGGACCUCUGCCGUGUGAUCAACAAAACCAAGCAAAUGACUGGUGAGAUUCAGAGGAGCGUGCCUGCCCUCUGCUGUACGGACACGGAACUGCAGCAAAGAAGCAUUGCAUUAAGACACACACCGUGACAUGUAAACAAUAUGACGUUGCUACCUUAUGUACUUUUGAAUACAAAUAGAUAUUUUUUGUAGCCUGCCUUGAAUAGUGCAAAAUGCUUUUGUAUCUCUCUUGCAUGAAAUAAAAGGUUUUUGUCAUAUGGCAGUCAUCCUCGCUCCACAGGAGGCAUUUUUCCUCUUACCAUCAUGAGAAAUGUUUAAUUGUCUUGACUGGCUAAAUAAAGAUUACAAAUAAAUUGA
Esox lucius (northern pike) is the source of this 1563-nucleotide long non-coding RNA. RefSeq lists it as uncharacterized. The transcript is spliced from 4 exons. The record is from RefSeq and is a predicted model, not a curated record. Lineage: Eukaryota; Metazoa; Chordata; Actinopteri; Esociformes; Esocidae.